RNAcentral lists this ribosomal RNA (1211 nucleotides) under Bifidobacterium longum. RNAcentral describes it as "bacterial SSU rRNA". It matches the Rfam family "Bacterial small subunit ribosomal RNA", at positions 221 to 1440 of the family's 1533-position model. The record is from RNAcentral. Lineage: Bacteria; Bacillati; Actinomycetota; Actinomycetes; Bifidobacteriales; Bifidobacteriaceae.
UGGGAUGGGGUCGCGUCCUAUCAGCUUGACGGCGGGGUAACGGCCCACCGUGGCUUCGACGGGUAGCCGGCCUGAGAGGGCGACCGGCCACAUUGGGACUGAGAUACGGCCCAGACUCCUACGGGAGGCAGCAGUGGGGAAUAUUGCACAAUGGGCGCAAGCCUGAUGCAGCGACGCCGCGUGAGGGAUGGAGGCCUUCGGGUUGUAAACCUCUUUUAUCGGGGAGCAAGCGAGAGUGAGUUUACCCGUUGAAUAAGCACCGGCUAACUACGUGCCAGCAGCCGCGGUAAUACGUAGGGUGCAAGCGUUAUCCGGAAUUAUUGGGCGUAAAGGGCUCGUAGGCGGUUCGUCGCGUCCGGUGUGAAAGUCCAUCGCUUAACGGUGGAUCCGCGCCGGGUACGGGCGGGCUUGAGUGCGGUAGGGGAGACUGGAAUUCCCGGUGUAACGGUGGAAUGUGUAGAUAUCGGGAAGAACACCAAUGGCGAAGGCAGGUCUCUGGGCCGUUACUGACGCUGAGGAGCGAAAGCGUGGGGAGCGAACAGGAUUAGAUACCCUGGUAGUCCACGCCGUAAACGGUGGAUGCUGGAUGUGGGGCCCGUUCCACGGGUUCCGUGUCGGAGCUAACGCGUUAAGCAUCCCGCCUGGGGGAGUACGGCCGCAAGGCUAAAACUCAAAAGAAAUUGACGGGGGCCCGCACAAGCGGCGGAGCAUGCGGAUUAAUUCGAUGCAACGCGAAGAACCUUACCUGGGCUUGACAUGUUCCCGACGGUCGUAGAGAUACGGCUUCCCUUCGGGGCGGGUUCACAGGUGGUGCAUGGUCGUCGUCAGCUCGUGUCGUGAGAUGUUGGGUUAAGUCCCGCAACGAGCGCAACCCUCGCCCCGUGUUGCCAGCGGAUUAUGCCGGGAACUCACGGGGGACCGCCGGGGUUAACUCGGAGGAAGGUGGGGAUGACGUCAGAUCAUCAUGCCCCUUACGUCCAGGGCUUCACGCAUGCUACAAUGGCCGGUACAACGGGAUGCGACGCGGCGACGCGGAGCGGAUCCCUGAAAACCGGUCUCAGUUCGGAUCGCAGUCUGCAACUCGACUGCGUGAAGGCGGAGUCGCUAGUAAUCGCGAAUCAGCAACGUCGCGGUGAAUGCGUUCCCGGGCCUUGUACACACCGCCCGUCAAGUCAUGAAAGUGGGCAGCACCCGAAGCCGGUGGCCUAACC